ACCCAAUCCCAACAGCAUGACCAAUAAUUUCAUUACCUUACAUUAAUUAUUUCUUUUUCAUUAUGGAUGGAAUUAGUUACUGUAUGUGCUUCAGAUAGUUCGGAUGUAGCAUGUUGGUAAAUUACUGCCUUCUUCAUUUUUAUUGCAGUUUUAAAAUGUGGGUUUGGUUAAUUUCGUCUUUGUCCACACUUAGAGUGAAAAUGUUGUCUGUAUUACCUUCUUUUGCUUAAUGGGGUUGAUGUAAAGCUGUACAUAUUCCUCUAAAACGUUCGCUUAUUGUUACUAAUUCGUACCUUAGAUGCAUUCAAUAACUUCGAAUAUUUAUUGUUGAUAUUAUGCAUUGGGAUUUUACCGAGUCUUCACGCUUAUUUUACACGUUUAAAUGAUACUUUACAUAUUUUUAAUUUACUCGUUAGUGGGGUCGGCUUACUGUCUGAAUGAAUAUACACACCGCUCGUUAAAAUAUACUUUUAAAUUCUUAUGUAAUGUAUUUUGUUGUUUAAUAUUAUUUCAGGAGCUAAAAUUAACUGUUCACGUAUUUAAUGCCACCGCUUGUCCUGCAGACCCCGUAAGGUUCCGUCGUUAAACAACAUGGCCGCCUGUCCUAUCUACAAAACUAUAGACAAAUAGUUUCACCAAUUUACCAACUCGUUAUCGUGGACUGCGCAGGAUGGACCCUAGAUAUUCACCAGUAUUAAUAACACCUCCGUAAAUUAGAACGAAAUAAUUAAAAUUCAAGAUGUUUUAUUAUUAUGUUGGCGGCGUCAGGCAGGCUUAUUAUCAGCGGAUCUUAGGCAGCGCUGUUAGUCCGUUACGAAAGUCGAACAAAACUUGGCAGCAGUAUACACAUGAGGCGCAUAUGAGAUUAUAUAUUUAGGUAUAACUUUAUAUAUAUUCACUAGCUAUAUAUAUUUAUAAUUAUAAUGUCUGAUACUGAUUAUGUGUUAGGACAAAUAUACCGUUCGAUGUUUUGGAUUUAUUAUGCAAUACAUUAUUUACGUUGUUUAAUUUAGUAAGGGGUCAGAAAAUAUUUUAUUAUGAACAUGAUUUAUUAUUCUCAUAGUUUGUAUUUCAUUCACAUGUUAGAGUUUAGUACAUAAAUUAUAGGUGUAAGUUGAUUUAUUACGGAGUUCCAAGUGUAAUGUUGAUCUUAUAGAGAAGUGAUAGGUAUGAAAAUGAGCACAAUAAACCGGGCGAUGACUUAGGUUAUUUUAUGAAUAGGUUAACGUUAUUAUUAUCACAUUCAGUGUUUGACAACUUACAGUAAACUAGAUUAAAGUCGGAUAAAACUUUGCAGUAAUUAGAUUAAUGCUUAGAUUAAAUUAUUGUACCGAUAGCAGCUGUGACUACAGCUUAGAUAUUACGGAAUAGUGUUAAGUCGUAGGCUAAUGUUUUAGCUUGUAUUAUUUGGCUAGACUAGGUAGGACCGUAGCCCCUGGUAUUUAGAGUUUGGGCAGGCCGUAGAUUCAGGACGUCCGUAUUUAGACUCCACAAAACGAAUCUGGAAGAAGCCUAAUUUGUUGGCAGGCUUAGACUAAAACUUCUAAAUUCACAGGCGCGGCUUCUCCUCACCGAGCUUAGGAAUGUAGGCAGACAAGCUAGAUAAGUUAUUAUAUUAUUACAUAGGACUGUAAUCAUAAAACGUAGAAGUAUAUUUUCAGUAAUUCUAAGUGAUAAUGGCUGCUAUUGAGAUAUUAUAAUUUGCAAUUAUUGUAAGGUUAUUUAAAGUUACACUUUAGGAAGUAUUUAGAUUUAGUCAAGUCAUUCGCUUCGGAUCACAUGCCCUUGAUUGCAAUUUUCUGCCGAAAACUAAUUCUGAGGAACUCGUUCAAACUAAAUGGAAUCCUAAAAAAUCUAAAUCGAUAAUUUGUGUACGUUAUGAUAAAACUUUAAUAUUUUGUAUUUAAAAUUAAAUUGUAAAUUCGAACGUUUUCUGUAUUAAUUGUUCUGCCCCGAACUUUAAAUUAAUUCUGUUAAAUAGAUAAACUUGAAAAUAACAUCUUUACUUCAUUCAACACAGAAGAAAAACUAUUGACGUCUGUAAAUCGUUGUAAAUUUUAUUAAUAAACCAUUAGUAAAUCGAAAUAUAGCAUUUAUUUAACUUUGUGUAAAUUUUACUAUCCUUGACAUUGACUCUCGUCUUCGUUUAUUGGACUGCAUAUAUUUCGUCACUUGUUUAAAAUUUACUUCUCAACUAGAAAGCAAAUUUUUAAUCAAAUAUCAUUCGAUUUUUACAAACAAAACAACUUAUUUUAUAUAUGUAGAUCUACUGCGAUAGAAAAAGUCAUAAUUAUUUUUCGACUUACAUUCCUCUUGAAUAGGAGAGACAUAGAUAUAAUCUUAACUUAGUUUAUAUCACCUAGUAGUAGAUCUCAUUAGUUAGGAUACCUAGAUAUACCUACAUAGAUAAAUAAGUUAUAUGUAUAGGUAUCUAUAUAUUAUUUAAGAAACGAAUUAUAUAAAACAUAUCUAUUUUAGUUACCUAAACAAAUUAAUUUAGUUUAGAAUACUGAGUUAUAUAAAAUAGGUAGAAUUAUGUACCCUUAAGUUCCUGUAUCUUAGGUACGUUGCAAGUAAUUUUAGGAACCUAAUUUGAAUAGGCAGGUUUUUUUUGUUUUAAAAACAAAUACCUUAUCUUACUGACUUAACAAUACCUUCCCAAAGAAUAUGAUCUAAUCGAUAAAAUUAUAAGUUCUACAAAUUAUUAAGGAAUUUCGAAAAUUACUUAAUUAUUUGGUUUAAUCAAAACUGUAGGGAAAAAUACCACAAGUGCCUUACCUUACUAACACUAUGAUACACUUUAGUAUUGGGGAAUAAUAAUCUAUUGAUUUAUAUCAAUACAGCAAUGUGGGGAAAUAUGCAAUUUUUAUUUAUGUUUUGACUGACUGACAUUGUCGCAUUUUAUCUAGAGGACUGUUCUCCCUUUGAUAUUAAAUAAAUUAAAUUUCUAUUUAAAAUGAGGUUUUUGAAUGAGCAUAGGUAAUUCGACUUACUGACAGACUGACAAUAAUCUCAGUCGAGCCCUCUCAAUUUGUAUCAAAAUCUAUUAUUUAAUUGGCUAGAAACUAGUCCUUUUAUUUUUGUCCCUGAUAGGUCCCUGACUCAGGUAAAAUUCUUAGUAACAGUAAAAAAGAAAAGAAAUAAAAGAAAUUGUAAUCUACUGAGUUUCUUGCCGGUUCUUCUCAGUCGAUAGUAGGUUCCGAACCGGU
Molecule: long non-coding RNA, 3209 nt
Organism: Trichoplusia ni (cabbage looper)
Lineage: Eukaryota; Metazoa; Arthropoda; Insecta; Lepidoptera; Noctuidae
Exons: 2
Source: RefSeq, a predicted model, not a curated record